Molecule: non-coding RNA, 1600 nt
Organism: Coffea arabica (coffee)
Lineage: Eukaryota; Viridiplantae; Streptophyta; Magnoliopsida; Gentianales; Rubiaceae
Source: RefSeq, a predicted model, not a curated record
AACUGGGGGGAUUGGGAGGGUAUAUUAGUCUCCUGUGAGAUUUUUAAAAAGAGUGAAUGGCCCAAAAGGUCACUAAACUAUUAAAAAUGGCAUCCUUUGAUCACUAAACUUUUUUUGUGGCCAAAAAGGUCACUAAACUCGCAAAAACUCUCCAACGUAGUCAUUUUACCGAAUCUCAACGGUUUCUCAUCCGGUGGCAUGGGCAACGUGGAAUGGAGGAAUAUAGUCAAAGGGCAAAAAUGUCUAAAAGAUUAUUGAAACUGGUGAAACCGUGGGCUAUUCCCUACUUUCAAACUCUACGCCAGGCUGAGAGGCCUGAGAGAGAUGACUCAGAGGGCACCGGCAAGACUGACCGGAACAACUAGAAGCAAGAAGUUUACGUGCAGUUAGCGGGACAUCCCAUCACCCACUCUGUGUAUUCAUCACAGAUUUGAUAGAAGAUCUGGCCGGAAAAUCGUGAUGAGGCCAUGUUUGGCAUCCGACCUUUGGGAGUUUAUGGGAUCUCAGCCAUCUAAGCUUAAGAAACGUAAUUGACCCAAUUCUCUCUCAUCUUCUGGAAUCGGAUAACUGGAAAGAACAGAGCUCGUCUCGCCCCUCAGAAUUGAACCCCUAGAUUGACUUCAUCUUCUCCGGCGAUAAAAAUAGAGACUGUAAUUUCCCUCUCUCCUCCUAAUCCUUCCUUCUUGAUUGAUGACAACCUCAAUUUCACCGCCAUUUCAGAAUCCGAAUCCGGCUCUUAGCAUUCUGAAUCUGUGCACUCCGACCAGAAUUUCCUCUACUACAGCCCAGAAGACGACGACGACGACGAUGAUCAAAUGAAUUUCGUUAAGGAUUUAUUCGCGACCCACCAUGGUAUCCCCGACCAUGGACUGUGUAAUUCUGAAUCCGGGUGUACUUGUCUGGACGAAGAACCCAAAUUAGUUUUAGGUGCACAGGCCGAAUGCAAUGGGGUUGCUUCUCUUCCGUCAAUGGUCGGCGGUCUUCGAAUUGUGAACAUGGAAUCGGAGUCCGACUCGGAGUGUUUACAGCCAGUAAACUUCACCAGAGAAGACGAAGUGAAUGUCGGUUGAUUGGUCAACUUUGGGAACGAAACAGUCUCAGCAGAUUGGCAGAGCAUGCAAUGCAGAGAUACUAGCUAGCCAGGAAGGCUGAGCCUUAAGGAGGGGGUGUUUAGUUUUACACGUGGCUGCUGCUAGUUUAAUCACCGGUGAGAUCAGAACCAGAUGGGCUCAGCAUUUAAGUCAAAAGAAGAAGAACAACGCCAAAUCAUAAUACUAAUAGGGGCCCCCACCGGCCACCGGGGGGUUGAUGUUGGACUGGUGCAAAGGUGAUUAGAUAAGUUUGAUUCGUCCAAAUUUGACCAGCCCCAGAUUGCCGACGACGUCUCACUUCACCACCUCCACACGCACACGGACACGUGAUUUUUUUUUCAUGGUCGAAUUUUGAAGGGCGACAAUUACAAGCCAAGUCUGUGGACUUUGGGAGUAUACACCACUGUAUAUAAUGAAAUGCUUUUCGUGCCUCCUACCUCCAUCCGGCUUUAUUCACACGCAUUCAAACAUGCCACUUCAAAAGUUUGUACAUUGUUCACCUUUUACCA